UACAUGUGCAGGUGAGAUCUGCUUCGUGUCCUACUCCCGUCUCGUGCAGCAUGCCCAGCAGUCCCGCCAACUUUCUAAUUGGAUUGUCGCUAUCGUGUCAUCGCAAGGAGUCGGGAGCCGCACCGAUUGAGCCGUCGUGCAUCAGAUAGGGCGGCCAUCAGGCGUUUGCUCCUAUUGGAGCCAACGGGGAGUGAAUUCAAAUAACUCGUUGACUGCUGCAGUCUGCAGGAGCAGCAGCCCGUGGCCGUUAGGACAUUGGACAGUCCUCGGGUCAGACUAGGAGCCAACGCCAAACAACCACCGGCGCUUCUAUUAGGAGCGAAGAAAAGAGAAGAAGAUGACAGGGCGGCGGCCAUCCAUUAGAGGGGGAAAAAAUCGCAUCAUCUCUUCUGCGCUGCUGCACACACAUCACAUAUUCCAUUUAAUGUGCUUUCCUAUAUAUAGGAGGGCGUCUUAUUCUCGUUAGUUUGGGGACGUUGGUUCAAGAAAGAAAGUGCGUUCCUCUGCCCACAUACUGACUGCAUAGUUUUCUAUUUGCUUGACCUUAGGGAUAGAGUCGAACGGAACGCCCAACCAAUAAAAACAAGUGAAAACCCCCAUCGCGUUAACGGUAUACUGUAGAGAACCGUCUUUUGGAACUCUUGGACAAUCUCAUCUGCCUAAUUAAACGGCCUCAAACGCCUCGGUUCUUUCCCGUUACAAUCGCGAAUGAAUAAUGAAUUACACGAAAGUUAAGAAAAGGAGAGACAACAAAAAAGAAAAGAGAAGGUUACAAAGACUGUCAUUAACGUCUCUCCACGGGCCGCACCUUUCUCCAUUUCUUUUUUCUCAUUUAAUUUAUUGCUUCUUUUUAAGGAUGGACAUUUAGCCGACUAUAGCAUUUAUCUUGACUAUAUGGUAGGGGGCUCAGUAUAAUUUGAUGAGAUCACUAUUAAAAUUAAACAUAUUAAAAUAAUCGCGAUCUGUUCAGCGGAUGUCGAAUCGCGGGUGAGAAAAUCGCUUUGAUCGUUUUUGAGCGGUUUUGAUUUAGUGGGGGAGGGGGAGUCGAUUAAAAUUUCUAUCGAUAUCUUAAGUUUGACUCAAUGACUCAUUCGAAUAUUAAUUUCGUCUGCUAUUCAUUAUGUUGUACAAGUUUUAAAAAUGUGGGCGUCGUGUCAACUCUGGUCGCCAGAAUAGCUUAAUACACACUCCAUGCUGUUUAGCAGAUACAAGCUGCAUCAUCCCUCUUGAUUUAAGAAACUAUAACGAUGUUGGUAGAUUGACGGAUCUCUUCUCCUCCUCUGCCUUCGUGUACACCCAUGAGAGUGUGGGUGCAUUCAUGAGGACGUGGGAUGCCCUUUAAAUUUCCAUCCCGCCUGGGCGCCUGGUGCUGUAUUCAACUUCUGUGGGAUGGAUGAAGCAAUUGUGGAUCCCUGGCCGUAUUUCCCGGGCUUAAAGGAGACCCCCGUGACAAUAAAUAUGUGCCGUUAUU
Daphnia pulicaria is the source of this 1471-nucleotide long non-coding RNA. RefSeq lists it as uncharacterized. The transcript is spliced from 3 exons. The record is from RefSeq and is a predicted model, not a curated record. Lineage: Eukaryota; Metazoa; Arthropoda; Branchiopoda; Diplostraca; Daphniidae.